This 505-nucleotide ribosomal RNA is filed under the name uncultured bacterium. RNAcentral describes it as "partial 16S ribosomal RNA". It matches the Rfam family "Bacterial small subunit ribosomal RNA", at positions 28 to 507 of the family's 1533-position model. The record is from RNAcentral.
GACGAACGCUGGCGGCGUGCCUAAUACAUGCAAGUAGAACGCACAGUUUAUACCGUAGCUUGCUACACCAUAGACUGUGAGUUGCGAACGGGUGAGUAACGCGUAGGUAACCUGCCUGGUAGCGGGGGAUAACUAUUGGAAACGAUAGCUAAUACCGCAUAAUAUUAAUUAUUGCAUGAUAAUUAAUUGAAAGGUGCAAUUGCACCACUACCAGGUGGACCUGCGUUGUAUUAGCUAGUAGGUGAGGUAACGGCUCACCUAGGCGACGAUACAUAGCCGACCUGAGAGGGUGAUCGGCCACACUGGGACUGAGACACGGCCCAGACUCCUACGGGAGGCAGCAGUAGGGAAUCUUCGGCAAUGGACGAAAGUCUGACCGAGCAACGCCGCGUGAGUGAAGAAGGUUUUCGGAUCGUAAAGCUCUGUUGUAAGAGAAGAACGGGUGUGAGAGCGGAAAGUUCACACUGUGACGGUAUCUUACCAGAAAGGGACGGCUAACUACGUG